AAAGGAAUAGACGGGGGCCCGCACAAGCGGUGGAGCAUGUGGUUUAAUUCGACGCAACGCGAAGAACCUUACCGGGGUUGGAACGUCCGCGGCCACGGCCUGAGAGGGUCGGUUCCUCGUAAGGGGACUGCGGGCGAGGUGCUGCAUGGCUGUCGUCAGCUCGUGUCGUGAGAUGUUGGGUUAAGUCCCGCAACGAGCGCAACCCUUGUUGGUAGUUGCCAUCAGGUGAAGCUGGGCACUCUACCGAGACCGCCGGCGAUAAGCCGGAGGAAGGUGGGGAUGACGUCAAGUCAUCAUGGCCUUUAUGCCCCGGGCUACACACGUGCUACAAUGGGCGGUACAGAGGGGGGCGAACCCGCGAGGGGGAGCGAAUCCCAGAAAACCGCUCUCAGUUCGGAUUGCAGUCUGCAACUCGACUGCAUGAAGCUGGAAUCGCUAGUAAUCGCGGAUCAGCACGCCGCGGUGAAUACGUUCCCGGGCCUUGUACACACCGCCCGU
RNAcentral lists this ribosomal RNA (498 nucleotides) under uncultured bacterium. RNAcentral's name for it is "bacterial SSU rRNA". It matches the Rfam family "Bacterial small subunit ribosomal RNA", at positions 903 to 1397 of the family's 1533-position model. The record is from RNAcentral.